GCCGUCAUAGAUCAGUGGCAGAGCGCUGGUUUUGUAAACCAGGGGUCGUGAGUUCGAUCUUCACAGGUGGUU
Molecule: non-coding RNA, 72 nt
Organism: Trichonephila inaurata madagascariensis
Lineage: Eukaryota; Metazoa; Arthropoda; Arachnida; Araneae; Nephilidae
Source: the annotation of a GenBank genome assembly